This 679-nucleotide ribosomal RNA is filed under the name Candidatus Peribacteraceae bacterium. Its description in RNAcentral is "bacterial SSU rRNA". It matches the Rfam family "Bacterial small subunit ribosomal RNA", at positions 834 to 1533 of the family's 1533-position model. The record is from RNAcentral. Lineage: Bacteria; Candidatus Peregrinibacteriota; Candidatus Peribacteria; Candidatus Peribacterales.
UCUUUCCCAGUGCCCCAGCUAACGCGGUAAGCACGCCGCCUGAGUAGUACGGCCGCAAGGCUAAAACUUAAAGGAAUAGACGGGGACCCACACAAGCGGUGGAGCAUGGGGUUUAAUUCGAUAAUAAGCGGAGCACCUCACCCAGACUUGACAUCCCGAGAACGUUCUAGAAAUAGAACAGUGCCGCAAGGAACUCGGUGACAGGUGGUGCACGGUCGUCGUCAGCUCGUGCUUUGAAGUGUACUGUUAAGUCAGCAAACGAGCGCAACCCUCAUCCUAUGUUGUUAUUUCAUAGGAGACUGCCGCCUCCAAGGCGGAGGAAGGUGAGGAUGACGUCAGAUCUGCGUGUCCCUUACGUCUGGGGCAACACCCGUGCUACAAUGGCCGGUACAAAGGGCAGCGAACCCGCGAGGGAGAGCCAAUCCCAAAAAACCGGUCUCAGUUCGGAUUGAAGUCUGCAACUCGACUUCAUGAAGUUGGAAUCGCUAGUAAACGUGAAUCAGCUACGUCACGUUGAAUAUGUUCCUGGGUCUUGUACUCACCGCCCGUCAACUCAUGAAAGGCAGGGGCGCCCGAAGCACCUUUAUUCUUCGGAAGAGGUACCACGGUGAAACUGCUGAUUGGGAGUAAGUCGUAACAAGGUAUCCGUAGGAGAACCUGCGGAUGGAACACUUCCUUA